AUGUGGUGGUACAUCAUUCAACCAGAAAAAGAGGGAAACACUGCCACGUGCUGCAACAUGGAUGGAUAUGAUGCUCAGGAAAGAAAGCAGACACGGAGACCACAUGCUGUGAAGUUCCAUGGAGGUGCUGUGUCCAGCAGAGCCAAGCCCAGACAGAAAGAGGGUUUCCAAGAAAGUACUCAAGUGGACUCUAAGCCCUUGAAGUUUGACUUGACUCAGGCCAGCAAUUUGCCACCCAGGCCUCACCACACUGCCGGAUUUCACCAGGUCCAAGCAUCAAACCAGGAGCUCACUCAGGUACACCCUUUAAGAGACCCCACACAGCUCCUACCUGCUCUGGGAUGGCCUGGACCCCUUCUUCCCCUCCCCCCUCUUCCAUCUGUCCUUCAACCUCUUCCAUCUAUCUCCUCCUGCUCAGUCCUUUCCUCCCCCUCCUCUAUCUAUUCCUCUUCAUCCUCCUGCUCUUCAUGCUCUUCCUGAUCCAUCUUCCUUGCAUCCUCCUCCUCACCUCCGUUCAUGUUUCUCCUCUUCUCACUCUUGUCCCUAUUUCUUAUCCUCAUUCACCUCCUCCUCCAUCCUGCUGCAUCCACCUUUUCUCCUGAAUCCAUCUUUCCUCUUGCUAGACCUUCCUUCCUUUCUUCCCAUCCUCCUCCUCCUCCUGCAUCCUCUCCCCUCCUGCACCUCCUUCAGCCUCACAUGUCCAUCUUCUCCCUCUCUUCCUUUUCUGGACAAGAGUCUGACCUCUAACCUUGGGCUCCUCCAGGUCGUCGGGCACCUCUGGCAGCAGCCCGUAGUUCAUGGAACCCAGAAGGGGCUUCAUGCUCAGGGAUUGGUGCUAGAGGUCCUUGUCACCUUGACCUCAGACCCAUGUGCUCCAGGCACCCACCACAGUCCUCUUCCCUUGAGAUAUUGGUAGAGGGUGAGGGUGCAGCUCAAGCCCACCUUUCUGACACUCCCUGUUGGAUGUGGGCCUCUCCUCUCAAGAUGGUAAGAAGGUAAGCAGGUGGGUGUGGAGAUCAGGUGGGUUCGAUCAGGGCCAGAAGAUGAGCAAGCUUCAGAGCAGGUCAGUGACCGCAAGAACCUCCACCUGCCUGGGGACAUGAUGCAGAGUGGGUUCCAGGCAGCUGCAAGUUCAUUCUAAUUCCACACAAUAUUGGGCUAAGGUCAGAAGUAAGGGUCAGUACUGAGCCCAAAAUGAAGGAGGUCAUCCUUUUCAGGGACAGGGCUGUAACCCAGCAGGGGAGGAUGACCACAGACAGAU
RNAcentral lists this long non-coding RNA (1261 nucleotides) under Sus scrofa (pig). Its description in RNAcentral is "lncRNA (ENSSSCG00070013638.1)". Lineage: Eukaryota; Metazoa; Chordata; Mammalia; Artiodactyla; Suidae. The record is from RNAcentral.